RNAcentral lists this ribosomal RNA (116 nucleotides) under Nostoc minutum NIES-26. Its description in RNAcentral is "Bacterial large subunit ribosomal RNA". It matches the Rfam family "Bacterial large subunit ribosomal RNA", at positions 2809 to 2925 of the family's 2925-position model. The record is from Rfam by way of RNAcentral. Lineage: Bacteria; Bacillati; Cyanobacteriota; Cyanophyceae; Nostocales; Nostocaceae.
UGCUCUCACUACGUAAGUAGGUAAGGUCACGGGCAGAACACCCGUUUAUAGGCGGUAGGUGGAAGUGCAGUAAUGUGCGUAGCCGAGCCGUGCUAACAGACCGAGGGCUUGACCUC